CCUACGGGCGGCUGCAGUGGGGAAUAUUGCGCAAUGGGGGAAACCCUGACGCAGCGACGCCGCGUGAGCGAUGAAGGUCUUCGGAUCGUAAAGCUCUGUUCUAGGGGACGAAGGACCGCGGGAGUAAUAUGUCCGCGGGGUGACGGUACCUUAGGAGGAAGCCCCGGCUAACUACGUGCCAGCAGCCGCGGUAAGACGUAGGGGGCGAGCGUUGUCCGGAAUUACUGGGCUGGAAGAGUACGUCGGUUGUGAAAGACCGGGGCUCAACUCCGGGGUUGCACUUGAAACUGGUGGUCUUGAGGGCAGGAGAGGAAAGUAGAAUUCCUGGUGUAGCGGUGAAAUGCGUAGAAAUCAGGAGGAAUACCAGUGGCGAAGGCGGCUUUCUGGACUGACCCUGACACUGAGGUGCGAAAGCGUGGGGAGCAAACAGGAUUAGAUACCCCGGUAGUC
RNAcentral lists this ribosomal RNA (450 nucleotides) under uncultured bacterium. Its description in RNAcentral is "partial 16S ribosomal RNA". It matches the Rfam family "Bacterial small subunit ribosomal RNA", at positions 338 to 795 of the family's 1533-position model. The record is from RNAcentral.